RNAcentral lists this ribosomal RNA (440 nucleotides) under uncultured bacterium. RNAcentral describes it as "SSU rRNA". It matches the Rfam family "Bacterial small subunit ribosomal RNA", at positions 26 to 518 of the family's 1533-position model. The record is from RNAcentral.
AGAGCGAACGCUGGCGGCAGGCUUAACACAUGCAAGUCGAACGCGUGUAGCAAUACACGAGUGGCGCACGGGUGAGUAACGCGUGGGCAUCUGCCUCAUGGUUCGGAAUAACCCCGGGAAACUGGGGCUAAUACCGGAUGGUACCUUCGGGUUAAAGAUUUAUCGCCAUGAGAUGAGCCCGCGUCCGAUUAGCUAGUUGGUGAGGUAACGGCUCACCAAGGCGACGAUCGGUAGCUGGUCUGAGAGGACGAUCAGCCACACUGGGACUGAGACACGGCCCAGACUCCUACGGGAGGCAGCAGUGGGGAAUAUUGGACAAUGGGGGCAACCCUGAUCCAGCCAUGCCGCGUGAGUGAUGAAGGCCUUCGGUUGUAAGCUCUUUGUGCGGAGAUAAUGACGGUACGCAGAAUAAGCCCGGCUAACUUCGCGCCAGCAGCCGC